UACGUAGGGACCAAGCGUUGUUCGGAUUUACUGGGCGUAAAGAGCGUGUAGGCGGCCACGCAGGUCCGUUGUGAAAACUGAAGGCUCAACCUCCAGACGUCGACGGAAACCGUAUGGCUAGAGUCCGGAAGAGGAGAGUGGAAUUCCUGGUGUAGCGGUGAAAUGCGCAGAUAUCAGGAAGAACACCAAUGGCGAAGGCAGCUCUCUGGGACGGUACUGACGCUGAGACGCGAAAGCGUGGGGAGCGAACAGG
RNAcentral lists this ribosomal RNA (253 nucleotides) under uncultured bacterium. Its description in RNAcentral is "partial 16S ribosomal RNA". It matches the Rfam family "Bacterial small subunit ribosomal RNA", at positions 524 to 776 of the family's 1533-position model. The record is from RNAcentral.